AUCUAGCAGACGAGUCUCAAAUAGGACAAAACGCGCUUGCUGGAU
This is a non-coding RNA of Schistosoma rodhaini, 45 nucleotides long. NCBI's taxonomy places the organism in Eukaryota, Metazoa, Platyhelminthes, Trematoda, Strigeidida, Schistosomatidae. The record is from Rfam.